This 311-nucleotide ribosomal RNA is filed under the name Ornithodoros sp. ALB-2015. Its description in RNAcentral is "partial 16S ribosomal RNA". It matches the Rfam family "Bacterial large subunit ribosomal RNA", at positions 2079 to 2618 of the family's 2925-position model. Lineage: Eukaryota; Metazoa; Arthropoda; Arachnida; Ixodida; Argasidae. The record is from RNAcentral.
GACAAGAAGACCCUAUGAAUUUUUUCAAAGACCUUUCUUGUUUGGAUCUUUGAAAAAAUUCAAGAAAGGUUUUUGAUUAAUUGGGGUGAUUUUUAAAUUUUAAAAAACUUUAGAAGUGUAUUACUAGAUCCAAUAUUAUUGAUGAUUUAAAAAAAAUACUCUAGGGAUAACAGCGUUAUUACUUUGGAUAGUUCAUAUAGAUAAAGUAGAUUGCGACCUCGAUGUUGGAUUAGGAUACCUUUAUUAAUGAAGAAGUUAUAAAAGGAGGUUUGCUCAACCUUCAAAUUCCUACAUGAUCUGAGUUCAGACCG